GGUCAAGUUAUUAAGGGUGCAGGGCGGAUGCCUUGGCACUAGGAGCCGAUGAAGGACGUGAUAAGCUGCGAUAAGCUUCGGGGAGUUGCACGUAAACUUUGAUCCGAAGAUUUCCGAAUGAGGAAACUCACUUAGAGUAAUGUCUAAGUAUCAUUAAGUGAAUACAUAGCUUAAUGAGGGGAACUCAGGGAACUGAAACAUCUAAGUACCUGAAGGAAGAGAAAGAAAUUCGAUUCCGUAAGUAGCGGCGAGCGAACGCGGAUUAGCCCAAACCAAUAAAGUUUUCUUUAUUGGGGUUGCGGACAUAUCAUAACGAAGAGGUAUCGUAAUUGAAGAGGUUUGGAAAGACCCACCACAGAAGGUAAUAGUCCUGUAUGUUAAACGAGAAGACUUCAGAUAUGAUCCAGAGUACCACGGGACACGUGAAACCCUGUGGGAAGCAGGAGGGACCACCCUCCAAGGCUAAAUACUACCUAGUGACCGAUAGCGUAUAGUACCGUGAGGGAAAGGUGAAAAGAACCCCGGGAGGGGAGUGAAAUAGAACCUGAAACCCUGCACUUACAAGCUGUGGAAGCACAUUUCUUGUGUGACCGCGUACUUUUUGUAGAACGGGCCAACGAGUUACGUUAAGUAGCAAGGUUAAGCACUUAAGGUGUGGAGCCGUAGCGAAAGCGAGUUUUAACUGAGCGUUCAGUUACUUGACGUAGACCCGAAACCGGGCGACCUACCCAUGAGCAGGAUGAAGCGAAAGUAAAAUUUCGUGGAGGUCCGAACCCACGAGCGUUGAAAAGCUCGGGGAUGACUUGUGGGUAGCGGUGAAAUUCCAAUCGAGCCCGGAGAUAGCUGGUUCUCCCCGAAAUAGCUUUAGGGCUAGCCUCAAGGUGAGAGAUACGGAGGUAGAGCACUGAAUGUCCUAGGGGGUAUUGCACCUACCGAAGACUAUCAAACUCCGAAUGCCGUCAUCUUAUACUUGGGAGUCAGACUGUGGGUGAUAAGAUUCAUAGUCGAAAGGGCAACAGCCCAGAUCGUCAGCUAAGGUCCCUAAAUGUAAGUUAAGUGGUAAAGGAUGUGGGAUUGCACAGACAACCAGGAUGUUGGCUUAGAAGCAGCCACUCAUUCAAAGAGUGCGUAAUAGCUCACUGGUCGAGUGAUCCUGCGCCGAAGAUUUCCGGGGCUAAAACUUACUACCGAAGCUACGGCAUCAGUAAUGAUGGGAAGGGGAGCUUCCCAUACGGGUUGAAGCAUGACCGUAAGGACAUGUGGACAGUAUGGGAGUGAGAAUGUUGGCAUGAGUAGCGAGAUGUGGGUGAGAAUCCCACAGGCCGUAAACCCAAGGUUUCCAGGGGAAGGUUCGUCCGCCCUGGGUUAGUCGGGACCUAAGCUGAGGCCGAAAGGCGUAGGUGAUGGACAACAGGUUGAUAUUCCUGUACUACCGAUAACCGUUUGAGAGAAGGGAUGACACAGUAGGAUAAGCUAAGCACACUGUUGGUUAUGUGUGCCCAAGCAUUGAGGCAGUCAAAGUAGGCAAAUCCGCUUUGAUAAUGCUGGGAUGUGAUGGGGAGCGAAAUUUAGUAGCGAAGUAGCUGAUUUCACACUGUCAAGAAAAGUCUCUAUCGAGGUUAAAGGUACCCGUACCGCAAACCGACACAGGUGGGUGAGGAGAGUAUCCUAAGGCCAGCGAGAGAACUGUUGUUAAGGAACUCGGCAAAAUGACCCCGUAACUUAGGGAUAAGGGGUGCCACCAUCAGGUGGCCGCAGAGAAUAGGCCCAAGCGACUGUUUACCAAAAACAUAGGUUUCUGCUAAGUCGCAAGACGAUGUAUAGGAGCUGACGCCUGCCCGGUGCUGGAAGGUUAAGGGGAUCUGUUAGAGCAAUCGAAGCAGUGAACUUAAGCCCCAGUAAACGGCGGCCGUAACUAUAACGGUCCUAAGGUAGCGAAAUUCCUUGUCGGGUAAGUUCCGACCCGCACGAAAGGCGUAACGAUUUGGGCACUGUCUCAACAACAGACUCGGUGAAAUUGUAAUUCCGGUGAAGAUGCCGGAUACCUGCGACAGGACGGAAAGACCCCAUGGAGCUUUACUGUAGCUUGACAUUGGGUUUUGGUACUACAUGUACAGGAUAGGUGGGAGGCUUUGAAACCAGGACGCCAGUUUUGGCGGAGCCAUCCUUGGGAUACCACCCUUGUAGUACUGGGACUCUAACCAUAGGCCAUGAAUCUGGUCUUGGGACACUGUCAGGUGGGCAGUUUGACUGGGGCGGUCGCCUCCCAAAAGGUAACGGAGGCGCUCAAAGGUUCUCUCAGUACGGUCGGAAAUCGUACGUAGAGUGUAAAGGCAAAAGAGAGCUUGAUUGCAAGACAUACAGGUCGAGCAAGGAUGAAAAUCGGACUUAGUGAUCCGGUGGUUCUGCGUGGAAGGGCCAUCGCUCAACGGAUAAAAGCUACCCUGGGGAUAACAGGCUUAUCUCCCCCAAGAGUCCACAUCGACGGGGAGGUUUGGCACCUCGAUGUCGGCUCAUCACAUCCUGGGGCUGUAGUAGGUCCCAAGGGUUGGGCUGUUCGCCCAUUAAAGUGGUACGCGAGCUGGGUUCAGAACGUCGUGAGACAGUUCGGUCCCUAUCCGUCGCAGGCGUAGGAAAUUUGAGAAGACCUGUCCUUAGUACGAGAGGACCGGGAUGGACGUACCUCUGGUGUACCAGUUGUUCUGCCAAGGGCAUGGCUGGGUAGCUAUGUACGGAAUGGAUAAGCGCUGAAAGCAUCUAAGCGCGAAGCCAACUUCAAGAUAAGAUUUCCCACCGUAAGGGUAAGACCCCAGAAAGACUAUCUGGUUGAUAGGUCGAAGGUGUAAGUGCAGCAAUGUAUUUAGCUUAUCGAUACUAAUAGGUCGAGGACUUGACCAA
RNAcentral lists this ribosomal RNA (2898 nucleotides) under Clostridioides difficile. RNAcentral's name for it is "23S ribosomal RNA". It matches the Rfam family "Bacterial large subunit ribosomal RNA". Lineage: Bacteria; Bacillati; Bacillota; Clostridia; Peptostreptococcales; Peptostreptococcaceae. The record is from RNAcentral.